Molecule: ribosomal RNA, 586 nt
Filed under: uncultured bacterium
Lineage: Bacteria
Description: partial 16S ribosomal RNA
Rfam family: Bacterial small subunit ribosomal RNA
Source: RNAcentral
UGGGGAAUUUGGACAAUGGGCGAAAGCCUGAUCCAGCAAUGCCGCGUGUGUGAAGAAGGCCUUCGGGUUGUAAAGCACUUUUGUCCGGAAAGAAAUCCUUGGCUCUAAUACAGUCGGGGGAUGACGGUACCGGAAGAAUAAGCACCGGCUAACUACGUGCCAGCAGCCGCGGUAAUACGUAGGGUGCAAGCGUUAAUCGGAAUUACUGGGCGUAAAGCGUGCGCAGGCGGUUUGCUAAGACCGAUGUGAAAUCCCCGGGCUCAACCUGGGAACUGCAUUGGUGACUGGCAGGCUAGAGUAUGGCAGAGGGGGGUAGAAUUCCACGUGUAGCAGUGAAAUGCGUAGAGAUGUGGAGGAAUACCGAUGGCGAAGGCAGCCCCCUGGGCCAAUACUGACGCUCAUGCACGAAAGCGUGGGGAGCAAAACAGGAUUAGAUACCCUGGUAGUCCACGCCCUAAAACGAUGUCAACUAGUUGUUGGGGAUUCAUUUCCUUAGUAACGUAGCUAACGCGUGAAGUUGACCGCCUGGGGAGUACGGUCGCAAGAUUAAAACUUAAAGGAAUUGACGGGGUCAUAGCUGUUUCCU